CCUGGAGCAUCCUCGUGUCCGAGCAGAGCCCUGCGGUGAGCAGAGAGGAGCUGGGGGCAUUUCGCUGCCUCCUCUCCGUGUUGUCCCACUGACCCAUAAACCCUCGUGGGGGGGGUUUGGGAUUCCUCCCGCUGUGGCUGUGCCCGAGGGCUGCUCUUCUCCCAGCAGCAGCCGUGCGCCCGGUGCUGCUCUCUGAACCACUGCCUUUUCCAAUUGCAUUUUUCCACUCGGAGUCACUCAGUCGUCACCUCAUUGCGUUGGGAGGACUCCCACAUCCCACUGCCCCCUCCAGCUGCAGCCGGGGCUGUCAGACCUUCAAAGGAAUUCGGGGCUUUCCCCCCACCCCUGCCUAUCUGUGCCCUCACACAAAGGAACGGAACCAAGCCCGUGCCCGAGCUCCCAGCCAGGAGCCCUCAGCAGCAGAACGUGUGAGCGUUACCCAUAUAGGGAGGUGCAGAGGGCUGGUGGUGCACGGGGAGCUCUGCAUCCCCCCCGCGGCCCUCAGCCUGCAGCCCCCUCCCGCUCGUG
Molecule: long non-coding RNA, 528 nt
Organism: Gallus gallus (chicken)
Lineage: Eukaryota; Metazoa; Chordata; Aves; Galliformes; Phasianidae
Source: Ensembl